Molecule: ribosomal RNA, 613 nt
Filed under: uncultured bacterium
Lineage: Bacteria
Description: bacterial SSU rRNA
Rfam family: Bacterial small subunit ribosomal RNA
Source: RNAcentral
UAACACAUGCAAGUCGAGCGGCAGCAGGCCCUUCGGGGUUGCUGGCGAGCGGCGGACGGGUGAGUAACGCGUGGGAAUCUACCCUUCGGUGGGGGAUAGCCCGGGGAAACCCGGAUUAAUACCGCAUACGCCCUACGGGGGAAAGCGGCCCUCUGAUGCAAGGUCGCGCCGAUGGAUGAGCCCGCGUCCGAUUAGCUCGUUGGUGGGGUAAAGGCCUACCAAGGCGACGAUCGGUAGCUGGUCUGAGAGGACGGUCAGCCACACUGGGACUGAGACACGGCCCAGACUCCUACGGGAGGCAGCAGUGGGGAAUAUUGGACAAUGGGGGAAACCCUGAUCCAGCAAUGCCGCGUGGGUGAAGAAGGCCUGCGGGUUGUAAAGCCCUUUCAGCUGGGAGGAAAAGCGUCCGGCUAAUACCCGGGCGUGUUGACGUUACCAGCAGAAGAAGCACCGGCUAACUCCGUGCCAGCAGCUGCGGUAAUACAGAGGGUGCAAGCGUUAAUCGGAUUUACUGGGCGUAAAGCGCGCGUAGGUGGCCAAUUAAGUCAAAUGUGAAAUCCCCGAGCUUAACUUGGGAAUUGCAUUCGAUACUGGUUGGCUAGAGUAUGGGAGA